UCGAAAAAUAAUUGUAAUAUAAAUUUCACAUUCUUUUCCACAGUAUUUCAUGUGUAUGACACUGGGAACCAGUCAUCUACAGAAAGAAGGAUGGCAAUCCAUUUGACUCUUAGGAACAGCUGUUGAUUCUGAGGAAGACGGCUUUGAUGAAGGUACAUUAACUGACUUCAUUGACAUUAAGGUCAUUAAUAAAAAUAUUGAAGAGCACCGGGC
Pogona vitticeps (central bearded dragon) is the source of this 213-nucleotide non-coding RNA. The record is from RefSeq and is a predicted model, not a curated record. NCBI's taxonomy places the organism in Eukaryota, Metazoa, Chordata, Lepidosauria, Squamata, Agamidae.